GGUCUAGUAGUGUAAUGGUAACACAGUACUCAUUGACUAUACUAUUCUAAGUUCGAAUCCUAGCUAGGCCG
RNAcentral lists this transfer RNA (71 nucleotides) under Phaeoacremonium minimum UCRPA7. RNAcentral's name for it is "tRNA-Gln (TTG) (tRNA-Gln-TTG-1-1)". It matches the Rfam family "tRNA". From Rfam's summary of the family: Transfer RNA (tRNA) molecules are approximately 80 nucleotides in length. Lineage: Eukaryota; Fungi; Ascomycota; Sordariomycetes; Togniniales; Togniniaceae. The record is from RNAcentral.